UUAAAAUUCCUUCUCUCAUGAAAGAUACAAAACGGAUAACUCAAAGCAGGUAAGGCAGCAGUGCAAGCUUUCCCACACUGCCAUGCCAAUUUGCAUCAACCCUGACAUCAACUAUGAUCAGCUAUGAGAGCAAGAAUAGUUCAAUGUCUAUGCUUAU
Chelonoidis abingdonii (Abingdon island giant tortoise) is the source of this 157-nucleotide unclassified non-coding RNA. The record is from Ensembl. NCBI's taxonomy places the organism in Eukaryota, Metazoa, Chordata, Testudines, Testudinidae.